RNAcentral lists this ribosomal RNA (253 nucleotides) under uncultured bacterium. RNAcentral describes it as "partial 16S ribosomal RNA". It matches the Rfam family "Bacterial small subunit ribosomal RNA", at positions 524 to 776 of the family's 1533-position model. The record is from RNAcentral.
UACGUAGGGGGCAAACGUUGUCCGGAUUUACUGGGUUUAAAGGGUGCGUAGGUGGAUAAUUAAGUCAGUGGUGAAAUCUUCAGGCUUAACCUGGAAACUGCCAUUGAUACUAUUUAUCUUGAAUACUUUGGAGGUAAGCGGAAUAUGUCAUGUAGCGGUGAAAUGCUUAGAUAUGACAUAGAACACCAAUUGCGAAGGCAGCUUACUACACAGUAAUUGACACUGAGGCACGAAAGCGUGGGGAUCAAACAGG